RNAcentral lists this ribosomal RNA (898 nucleotides) under Staphylococcus aureus. Its description in RNAcentral is "bacterial SSU rRNA". It matches the Rfam family "Bacterial small subunit ribosomal RNA", at positions 92 to 976 of the family's 1533-position model. Lineage: Bacteria; Bacillati; Bacillota; Bacilli; Caryophanales; Staphylococcaceae. The record is from RNAcentral.
UUAGCGGCGGACGGGUGAGUAACACGUGGAUAACCUACCUAUAAGACUGGGAUAACUUCGGGAAACCGGAGCUAAUACCGGAUAAUAUUUUGAACCGCAUGGUUCAAAAGUGAAAGACGGUCUUGCUGUCACUUAUAGAUGGAUCCGCGCUGCAUUAGCUAGUUGGUAAGGUAACGGCUUACCAAGGCAACGAUGCAUAGCCGACCUGAGAGGGUGAUCGGCCACACUGGAACUGAGACACGGUCCAGACUCCUACGGGAGGCAGCAGUAGGGAAUCUUCCGCAAUGGGCGAAAGCCUGACGGAGCAACGCCGCGUGAGUGAUGAAGGUCUUCGGAUCGUAAAACUCUGUUAUUAGGGAAGAACAUAUGUGUAAGUAACUGUGCACAUCUUGACGGUACCUAAUCAGAAAGCCACGGCUAACUACGUGCCAGCAGCCGCGGUAAUACGUAGGUGGCAAGCGUUAUCCGGAAUUAUUGGGCGUAAAGCGCGCGUAGGCGGUUUUUUAAGUCUGAUGUGAAAGCCCACGGCUCAACCGUGGAGGGUCAUUGGAAACUGGAAAACUUGAGUGCAGAAGAGGAAAGUGGAAUUCCAUGUGUAGCGGUGAAAUGCGCAGAGAUAUGGAGGAACACCAGUGGCGAAGGCGACUUUCUGGUCUGUAACUGACGCUGAUGUGCGAAAGCGUGGGGAUCAAACAGGAUUAGAUACCCUGGUAGUCCACGCCGUAAACGAUGAGUGCUAAGUGUUAGGGGGUUUCCGCCCCUUAGUGCUGCAGCUAACGCAUUAAGCACUCCGCCUGGGGAGUACGACCGCAAGGUUGAAACUCAAAGGAAUUGACGGGGACCCGCACAAGCGGUGGAGCAUGUGGUUUAAUUCGAAGCAACGCGAAGAACCUUACCA